RNAcentral lists this long non-coding RNA (1023 nucleotides) under Apteryx rowi (Okarito brown kiwi). RNAcentral's name for it is "lncRNA (ENSARWG00000012810.1)". The record is from RNAcentral. Lineage: Eukaryota; Metazoa; Chordata; Aves; Apterygiformes; Apterygidae.
AUGGAAACCUUCUUGGCUCCACUUGUAGGAGGAAAGGUGCUGCUCAUGUUUAUCACUAUGAUCUACUCAUCAGGUGCAUCUGACAUGGGGGUCAUGAAUCAGGAACAAAAAACCUGUCCCAAGAUACUGCAGCUAAAAGCAUGGCAUUCCCUUGAUACCUGGCCCAGGAAAAGGCACUCCACAUUCCCAGAGAUUUUCAGCAGACAAUAGAGUACUUCUGCGUUGAAAGACUUUAAACUGCCAGAGAUUGUUUUUGCGCAGUCAUGGGAGCAGUCAUAGGAGAGUAACAGCUCAAGGCAGCAGCACUCAUCUUCCACAAAUGAAACAUGUAACUAACUCACUCCUGAGCCCUGACUCUGUCAGGAUAUAAUGUAAGAAAGCUUGUUUCAUAAGUUUUUGCACAAUAUUUUUAAAUAGAGAGUGACUGUAAAUGUUCUCCUUUACCCUACCACCACCACCGAGAAGGAAAAAAAGCCUGAAAAAGGAGGUAUAAACUGAAGAAAUCAGAGCUUAGGGGUUUUUUUCUGUAGAGGUGGAGAAUUUCUACUGACCUGUCAACAUUAUUCCAUUGAGUGGUUUUGUCACAGAUUGUCAUGAAUUACAACAGCAUAGUGGGGAUCUUCUUGGAAGGAAUCUGUGAUCUCUGAGCAAAAUUUGCCCUUCUGAUGCUGCUUUGUGGCAGGGUGUAAAUUAUAGUCUUACUGAGCAAUCACAUGAUCUUGUUACUUUGGCCUUUUUUUUUUUUUCUUCAAUAGCUGCUGACUGUUUUGUGUUUUCAUAUUAAUUGUAACACUUCUGAUGUGAGGCUCCAGUCUUGCUCACAGAUGUGCAUGAGAGGGUCAUCUUAGAUUCUAAGAAAGAUUUACUGCUGGGAAAGCAAAGUCUCAUUUUAAUGUGCAUUCUCUACUUAUAUCGAGGUGUUCUGGAGCAAUGCUUAAUAACAGACGUUUUGAAAAGUCACUGCAGGCUGGUCUUCUGCAUUAUUUUUAAUGACUUGUAGUUCAACUUUAAAAACAGAAUUAA